This 253-nucleotide ribosomal RNA is filed under the name uncultured bacterium. RNAcentral describes it as "partial 16S ribosomal RNA". It matches the Rfam family "Bacterial small subunit ribosomal RNA", at positions 524 to 776 of the family's 1533-position model. The record is from RNAcentral.
UACGGGGGGUGCAAGCGUUAUUCGGAAUCAUUGGGCGUAAAGAGCGCGUAGGCGGUCGUCUAUGUCAGGUGUGAAAGCCCGGGGCUAAACCUCGGAAGUGCAGAUGAUACUGGUGGACUCGAGUAUGGGAGAGGGAAGUGGAAGUUCUGGUGUAGCGGUGAAAUGCGUAGAGAUCGGAAGGAACACCAGUGGCGAAGGCGGCUUCCUGGCCUAAUACUGACACUGAGGCACGAAAGCGUGGGGAGCAAACAGG